Molecule: ribosomal RNA, 198 nt
Filed under: uncultured bacterium
Lineage: Bacteria
Description: partial 16S ribosomal RNA
Rfam family: Bacterial small subunit ribosomal RNA
Source: RNAcentral
ACUCCUACGGGAGGCAGCAGUAGGGAAUCUUUGGCAAUGGGGGCAACCCUGACCGAGCAACGCCGCGUGAGUGAAGAAGGUUUUCGGAUCGUAAAACUCUGUUGUUAGAGAAGAACGUUAAGUAGAGUGGAAAAUUACUUAAGUGACGGUAUCUAACCAGAAAGGGACGGCUAACUACGUGCCAGCAGCCGCGGUAAA